GUGCUCAUUUUGUCAGCUCGUACGCUAAAAUUGGAAUGAUACCGAGAAGAUUAGCAUGGCCCCUGAGUAAGGAUGACAUGCGAAUUCAUGAAGUGUUCCGUGUUUUU
Molecule: small nuclear RNA, 107 nt
Organism: Diceros bicornis minor
Lineage: Eukaryota; Metazoa; Chordata; Mammalia; Perissodactyla; Rhinocerotidae
Source: RefSeq, a predicted model, not a curated record